This is a non-coding RNA of Podarcis lilfordi (Lilford's wall lizard), 71 nucleotides long. Lineage: Eukaryota; Metazoa; Chordata; Lepidosauria; Squamata; Lacertidae. The record is from the annotation of a GenBank genome assembly.
GGAUGCUAGCUCAGUGGUUCAGCAUCUGCUUUGCAUGCAGAAAGUUCCAGGUUCAAUCCUUGGCAUUGCCA